Molecule: small nuclear RNA, 298 nt
Filed under: Cebus imitator (Panamanian white-faced capuchin)
Lineage: Eukaryota; Metazoa; Chordata; Mammalia; Primates; Cebidae
Description: 7SK RNA (ENSCCAG00000015285.1)
Rfam family: 7SK RNA
About the family: 7SK was discovered as an abundant small nuclear RNA in the mid-70s but a possible function has only recently been suggested.
Source: RNAcentral
GGAUGUGAGGGCGAUCUGGUUGUGACAGCUGUCACCCCACUGAUUGCCAGGGUUGAUUCAGCUGAUCUGGCUGGCUAGAAGGGUGUCCCCUUCCUCCCUAACUAAUCCAUGUGCGUCCCUCAUGAGGCUGUGUGUUUGGUCAAAGAGUACAACCAUCCCCAAGAGAGGAGGACUGGUCUUCCGUCAAGGGUACACAGGUAGGCGCGCUUCCCUGCUAGAACCUCCAAACAAACUCUCAAGGUGCAAAAUGCAUUUCAGCUCAAAUAGUCAAGCAUUCUUUCAACAUUAGUGAAUCAUU